This 484-nucleotide ribosomal RNA is filed under the name uncultured bacterium. RNAcentral's name for it is "partial 16S ribosomal RNA". It matches the Rfam family "Bacterial small subunit ribosomal RNA", at positions 30 to 507 of the family's 1533-position model. The record is from RNAcentral.
AUUGAACGCUGGCGGCAGGCCUAACACAUGCAAGUCGAGCGGAUGAAGGGAGCUUGCUCCUGGAUUCAGCGGCGGACGGGUGAGUAAUGCCUAGGAAUCUGCCUGGUAGUGGGGGAUAACGUCCGGAAACGGGCGCUAAUACCGCAUACGUCCUGAGGGAGAAAGUGGGGGAUCUUCGGACCUCACGCUAUCAGAUGAGCCUAGGUCGGAUUAGCUAGUUGGUGGGGUAAAGGCCUACCAAGGCGACGAUCCGUAACUGGUCUGAGAGGAUGAUCAGUCACACUGGAAAUGAGACAAGGUCCAGACUCCUAAGGGAGGCAGCAGUGGGGAAUAUUGGAAAAUGGGCGAAAGCCUGAACCAGCCAAGCCGCGUGUGUGAAGAAGGUCUUCGGAUUGGAAAACACUUUAAGUUGGGGGGAAGGGCAGUAAGUUAAUACCUUGCUGUUUUGACGUUACCAACAGAAUAAGCACCGGCUAACUUCGUG